GACGAACGCUGGCGGCGUGCUUAACACAUGCAAGUCGAGCGGUAAGGCCCUUUCGGGGGUACACGAGCGGCGAACGGGUGAGUAACACGUGGGUGACCUGCCCUCAGCUCUGGGAUAAGCCUGGGAAACCGGGUCUAAUACCGGAUACGACUCCAUGACGCAUGUUGUGGGGUGGAAAGCCUUGUGCGGCUGAGGAUGGGCCCGCGGCCUAUCAGCUUGUUGGUGGGGUGAUGGCCUACCAAGGCGACGACGGGUAGCCGGCCUGAGAGGGCGACCGGCCACACUGGGACUGAGACACGGCCCAGACUCCUACGGGAGGCAGCAGUGGGGAAUCUUGCGCAAUGGGCGAAAGCCUGACGCAGCGACGCCGCGUGAGGGAUGACGG
RNAcentral lists this ribosomal RNA (385 nucleotides) under uncultured bacterium. Its description in RNAcentral is "bacterial SSU rRNA". It matches the Rfam family "Bacterial small subunit ribosomal RNA", at positions 28 to 414 of the family's 1533-position model. The record is from RNAcentral.